This 306-nucleotide ribosomal RNA is filed under the name uncultured bacterium. Its description in RNAcentral is "partial 16S ribosomal RNA". It matches the Rfam family "Bacterial small subunit ribosomal RNA", at positions 507 to 808 of the family's 1533-position model. The record is from RNAcentral.
GACAGCAGUCGCCACGGUAAUACGUAGGUGGCAAGCGCUGCCCGGAAUUAUUGGGCGUAAAGCGCGCGCAGGCGGAUAGGUCAGUCUGUCUUAAAAGUUCGGGGCUUAACCCCGUGAUGGGAUGGAAACUGCCAAUCUAGAGUAUCGGAGAGGAAAGUGGAAUUCCUAGUGUAGCGGUGAAAUGCGUAGAUAUAUGGAGGAACACCGGUGGCGAAGGCGGCUUACUGGUCCAUUACUGACGCUGAGGUGCGAAAGCGUGGGGAGCAAACAGGAUUAGAUACCCCUGUAGUCCCUGUCUCUUAUACA